CGGAGAUCCUCCAAAAUGGCAAGGCCGAUGACUGGCUGCUCGCUGUUGAAGUCAACACUUCCCCGAGUUGGUUUGUUGGAAAGGAGAAAAAAACACCAGGAGUCAGGUCAAUUAGCGUACCAUAUAUUCAGUUUUUUACAAAAGCUUUUGGAGACAAGGUGUCGCCGCACAAUGUCUAAGGAUCAACAGUCAAAACAUCAUUUUAUACUUCCACUACGCCCAAAAGAUAGAGUCGUUAAGUUCACAAAGCAAGUGUGCUAUUGGUCCAAUCCCAGUUCUAUUCCUUGUAAGGAUAACUGCAAGUAUCCCCUUGCCCCCCUUGCAGUUUCUGUGUUGUCUGUCCGACUAUGUGUGUGUGUCUCUAACCUGUGUCCUGUUUCUCAAAAGACAGACAUACUAAAUCUUUCUCUCCCCGGCAACCACUUGAACAGGGUUUCCUGUUCUCCUACUUGCACCUUCAGUUUCAACACAGUUACAAACAAUUAAUAUUUUGUUUCAUUUCUUACAACAGUUCACUAACUUAUACAAUCAAUACAUCUACAAUUCCCCCUUUUGAUCUCUCCCCAGAGAGAUCACCCCUAUUCGCCAAGCUCCAGUUCUCCCGGGUCAUGCUGCUCCAGUAGAGGCAUCAGCAUCCCUGGUGGCGGUCCUGGAGCCUUCUCAAUGGCUGUAGAGAUCACUCUCAUGGCGAGCCCUCUCAUGCAUGGGAUACAACAACACCCACAAGUAACCAUUAUAGCACCAAAUGUAGCAAGCGAUAAAAGAACAGACAUUAUCAAACCUAUCCACUGGCCAAACAUCGAGGUCAGCCAUUCCUCCAGCGGAUUAUCUAUCCCAGAAUGCUCGUAUGUGACCCCUUGACAUAGUCCAAUUCAAUGCCCCCAAAUUUCCUCAAACAGGUGUCCUCAGGUGGGGUCGCGAACCUCUUCGCUGGGGGAAUGAAGACCCGAUGCCAACCUGGGAAACCUGUAACAACACACAACACACAUAAUUAUUCCACCAAUGUCCAUGUACCACUUCAUUCUAUUUUCAUCUCCUCAGACCUUUCUCUGUGACCCUGUCAUCUUGGUACAAGUGGUAGGAGCCACUCGGUGUCCUAUACCCCCUUUUGUUACAGUAUUCCUCAGUUCCUUCCCCUAAGAGUCUAUUCCCCUGGCGGCGUCCUUUGUCUCCUUCACUCGCUCGUAGUCCCGCAGUGUCCUGGGGUCCGCUCCUGGCACCGGUCCGGCUGGUGUUGGUCCUCCUUCCGUCCACACUGGGGAAAGCUCCUCCUUCCCGGUUUGGAUGAGGUCCGUCAGCGACCUCCCUGGCUCCUGCGCUGGUGUACACUGGCUCCAAUGGUACCAGGUCUCUCCUUUGUCCCUCAGGCGGACCGCAUGGCUCGUUCUCUCCACCACCUGAUGAGGAGCCGUCCACCUUGGCUCCGACCACUUUCGCUUGAUGACCUUCAGCAACACCCACUCCGCCUGGGGCAGGUUCUGGUCCAGCGGGUGCAGGUCCCUCCGUUCUCCGACUCUGUUGGUGAAUUCUGAAACGAGAGCUCGCAAUUCAUCAAAAUACACUGUGAUCUUUGGGCCACUUUUCCCCUUCCGGGACCGCAGGCCCCGCGGCUGGUCCUGGAAACUGUCUCCCCGUCAGCAGCUCGGUGAACCCAGUGGUCUGAUUUAACAAGCAUUGAAUCGUCAUGAGUGCCAGUGGCAGUGCAUCCACCCAGUUCAAUUUAGUCUGUACACAUAUCUUAGCCAACUUGUUUUUUAUGUUUUGGUUCAUCCUUUCUACCUGUCCCUGGGACUGUGGGUGGUAUACAGUGCCAAAAGCACGUUUUAGGCCCAAUAAGCUCUCUACCUUCUGUAAAUCACUGUUCAUAAAGUGAGUCCCAUUGUCUGACCUAAUUUUCUCUGGGAAGCCGUGUCUGGGAAUGUACUGGUUCACUAAACACUUGAUCACUGUCUGACUGUCCUCCCUUCUUGCCGGCCAGGCUUCUGGCCACCCUGUGAACAUGUCCACACACACUAACAUGUAGCAGCACCCCCGUACAGUUUCCCCCAUGUCCGUGUAGUCUAUCACUACCUCUUGUCCAGGUCUCGUCGUCUUGGGGAACGCCCCCAUCUCAGGUUUGAUCGUCGGUUUUGGGUUGUGGUGAGUGCAGAUGGUGCAUGUCCUAGUGUAGUUACGUACCAUGUCUACCAUAAACGGGUGCCACCAAUGGCACAAGUUCCUCAACAUCUGUGCUGGCCCUACAUGGCCCAACCCGUGGGCUUCUGCAAAUUUAUCUCCCCGCAUGGCUGGUGGAAGUAUUACUCUACCGUCUGGCCCUCUCCAGAGCCCGCUCGUCUCUGUUGCUCCUCUCUGUUGCCUAAUUGUUUUCUCUUGUGGGGAAGCCCCCUUUUGAUGUCUCACUAGCCCGUCUUGUUCGUGUCUGAAACAGCACCCAUCAGUGAUGAAGUCCUCUGCCCCUGGGAGGGGUUCUGCCUCCAGAUCGGUUUGUGUCUUACUCUCCCUGACUACCUCUUGCGCGCACUUAUGUGGUAGCCCCGUCCCCAUUCGAUCUGCCAUAUUUAUCCCUUCAUGUGUGAAAGUCAAAUUUGGAGCCCCGAGAAUUUUGCUUAGGUGUUAUUAUCUGAGGGAAGUCAUAGUGAACAUCUGUGAAUUUACAUACGCCACUACACUGUGUGUUGUGAGUAUCUGAAGUUGAUGCCCCAUCACUAUAUGUGCGCAUUUUUGAAUGAGUCUCGCUACCCCCGCUGCAUGCUGUGUGCAGGUGGGGUGCCUUUUUUCGGUUUUGUCAAAUCCUACGCUUAUGUACAUAAGGAUGUUCCUAUCUCCCCCUUUUUUCUGAAACAGGACCCGGUUCAUGACUUGUCCUGUUUCAGAAACAUCUAGAAAAAAGGGUUGUGUGUAUGAAGGCCUGGGCGGCCGGGCAAGUCCAAUUGAGAGUGGCUUUAAGUUUACGCAUUCACUGCUCUUUAACUAGCGCUCUAAGUGGCUCUGUGAGCCCUGAAUAGUUUGGGAUGUAAUUGCGGCUGUGUCCCGUGAGCCCCAGGAAUGAUAGCAUUUCCUGAACAGUAGUGGGUUUAGGAUGGUGGAGGAUGGUUGUGCGGUGAGCUGGGGAAAGCCCCGCUCCUUUCUGCGAGAUUACUCUGCCCAGAAAGGAGACCUGCGUCCUUACCAGCUGUAGCUUUUCUUUUGACACCUUGAAGCCUUUCUCAGCCAGUCUGGUGAGGACCGUCAUCGUAGAUUGGAUGCAGGCGGCCACCGUCGGGGCCGCCAGCAGAAGGUCGUCUACGUACUGGACCAAAGUUACCCCUGUCGGCAGGCAGCAUCCCUGCAGCGCUUCUCUCAGUACCUGGUUGAAUAUACCAGGGGAAAGCGCGAACCCCUGUGGUAGUCUCGUGUAUCGCCAUUGCCGACCCCUAUGUGUGAAAGAAAAAAUAUCACAAAGUUCCUCUGCUAGUGGGAGACAGAAAAAAACCGUUAGCCAGGUCAAUGCAGGUGAACCAUUUUUACGUUUUACAGCUGUGUGAGUACCAUACGUUUGGCGCCUGAGGGAGUGUCCAAUCAGUGCAUUCGACUGCCCUUUUAACCAUGGGCCCCAGGUCUUUUGCUUGGUGUUUAGGAUGCAGGGCCAGUGACACAUGUGGGACGGACUCCUCCGCCAUCAUGUACCACUGAUCCUGCUCCUCUGUCAACUGUACAUCUGCCGCUACCCCUUCAGGGCCUACAUAUAUGAAUUUAGACCCGACCUGCCACGUGUCCCCACAUACUACAUCCCCAAACCCCUCUCUAUACACCUCAUCGCCCUGCCGAUCAUAAAAUAGGGUUACAUGUGGGGGGUCUGGCGGAGGAAAGUACGGCUCGAGGAGGGAGAUCCACGGCCUCCACUUGAAGUACUGGGACAAAAUACCCUGUUUGUCCGGCUUUUCCGGUGUCAAUAGUCCCCAGUAUAUCUCCGCUAUUUCACCCUUCACCGGUUGUACCAGGUACUGCCCUUUGCGUGUGGUUUCAGGACGCACACCGCCGAUGUCCCGUCUGGUAACGUGACGGUUAGUCCAUCUGGAGAACAUAAGAUAUUAGCCCCCAGUUUUAUCAACAAGUCUCUCCCCAAUAAGUUCACUGGUGUGUUUGUCGACACCACAUACGGAUGGCUGAGGGCCGGUUUACCCAGUACCGUUUUAAGAGGAAAUGUCACUGGCAAAGUCUGUCCCACUCCUUCAAACCCCACAACAUCCACUGUUUUGGAGGAUAGUAGUCCUGUAGCGGGAGGGGCGGUGAUGGUGGAAAAAGUGGCACCUGUGUCAACCAGAAAGGAGAAAUCCUUCCCGUCGACAAUCAGGGACAGCAUGGGGUCUGCCCUUGCCCCGCUGUCCCCUCCCCUCCCUGUAGACCGUCACGCCUGGUCCCACCCUCCCUCAUAAGAGAGUGGGUAUUGUCCAGGUGCACUAGGUGGUGGGACGGCGUGUGGGUUGGGAACUGGAGCUGCCCCUUGGUUUGGGUAUCCUCUGCCCCUUGCAGUGUUCUGUGGGCAGUCUCUGGACCAGUGGUUCGGGUCACCACACGUAAAGCAGGCUCCGUAUGGGACUUGGGCUCCUUAAGC
Long non-coding RNA from Esox lucius (northern pike), 4594 nucleotides. NCBI's taxonomy places the organism in Eukaryota, Metazoa, Chordata, Actinopteri, Esociformes, Esocidae. The record is from Ensembl.